CUGUCAUGGCCCUCCCCCUCCUGUAAGUAAAUUAUAAAUGCCCCUAUUAAACAGGCACAGUUUACCCCCAGGAUAAACCAAAAGGAUAUCAACAUUCAGAUAAUAGUGGUUAUUUAAUUGUUCACCUUUCUGCUAUACAGUACGAUUUUGUACUGUAAUAUGAUUUUUGUCUUUAAACUUUACCCUGUACCCAAGGGCUUUGUCAAUAUUUUGUUCUGUCAACCUCAUGGGAAGCAGAGGAAAGUGAAUAAGUUAUAAGUGCAAGGGGCAUAAUAUAGAUAUUUACACUUUCCAUUAAUGGCAUCUUUCCAACAACAAAAAUAUGAACAAAAUAUAUAUAAUAAACAUUUAACAAUUUGAAUACUAACUAGUGACUACAGUUCAUACAAUGAGACAGUCAACUUCUGUGAAAAUAUAAACAACCACGCGAUAUUGACCAAGUUACAAGUCCACAUAAUUUGAUUCUUUCAAUUGAUUUUACACGAGCGACACUGGUCGAAUAGCAGCUGAUCCAAUCACAGAUCCAAUGUAAUAAAUAUAUACGUGGAAUAUCAUAUUGCAUGAGAAUUCCUUUAGAAAAUUCGACAAUAUAUAAUAAUUAUUAUAUUAUUAUAUUUGAGGUAAAAAUACCAAGUCCAAAAUCACGAACAAAUGUACACCAAACUGUUCAGUGUUGACUCCUUGGCUUAGAACUUGCAAAUCACACCUUCCCAACAUUACAUAAGGCAAUAGCACCUGUAAUUUUCCAUCAAAAUCUUCUUUAAUACAAUUUUUACUGUAAAGUCUGUAAAAUACUCACAAAUUUAUAUUAAAAAUUUAACAAAAAAUUAUCGAAGUAAACUAGAGCCCACUCCCAACGCGAAGGACAAAUCAGGACAGUUUGCGAAUUUUGCUAGGCCUUCUCCAUUCUCGUACCCAGAGCCCUUCUUACGUGCGUUCGACCGAGCACGAUGAG
Molecule: non-coding RNA, 955 nt
Organism: Paramuricea clavata
Lineage: Eukaryota; Metazoa; Cnidaria; Anthozoa; Malacalcyonacea; Plexauridae
Source: the annotation of a GenBank genome assembly